This 179-nucleotide ribosomal RNA is filed under the name Nitzschia sp. (in: diatoms). RNAcentral's name for it is "Nitzschia sp. (in: Bacillariophyta) partial small subunit ribosomal RNA". It matches the Rfam family "Eukaryotic small subunit ribosomal RNA", at positions 777 to 957 of the family's 1831-position model. Lineage: Eukaryota; Bacillariophyta; Bacillariophyceae; Bacillariales; Bacillariaceae. The record is from RNAcentral.
AAAGCAGGCUUAUGCCGUUGAAUAUACUAGCAUGGAAUAAUAAGAUAGGACCCAGGUACUAUUUUGUUGGUUUGCGCACCCGGGUAAUGAUUAAUAGAGACAGGCGGGGGUAUUCGUAUUCCAUUGUCAGAGGUGAAAUUCUUAGAUUUACGCAAGACGAACUACUGCGAAAGCAUUUA